CUCAGUUAAUUCACGGGCGA
This 20-nucleotide small nuclear RNA is filed under the name Arabidopsis thaliana (thale cress). Its description in RNAcentral is "snRNA_11349". The record is from RNAcentral. Lineage: Eukaryota; Viridiplantae; Streptophyta; Magnoliopsida; Brassicales; Brassicaceae.